AAAAAAAAAAAAAUCAAUUGAAUUAAAUUCUUACAAAAUUAUAAUUUUCAAACAGGGGCUUGAGAUGUUUUUUGUUCACAAUAUUGUUUGAAAAUGUAUUGAUCAGACCUUGAUGAACUAUUUUGAGGGGAUAAAGAAAGAGAAACAGGAACCUUUUUAUCCAUGAUAUCUUCCACAAGUGAAACCAAACAAGGGAUGGGUGAAGCAGUCAAAUCUCAGCUUUUUGCACAAAUCCCAAAGGGCACAUCUGAUAAGCAACAGUAAUUAUCGCCAAGUUGAUCUUGUAGAAGUCUACAACAUGUUAACCUCAAAGUUAAGGAGCUGGAUUUCAAUCCCCAGAAAAGUGAAGGAUAAACGAUGAAAGUUGCACAAAAUUGGCCAUGUUAUCUACCAUGCUUCAAAUACAUUUAACGUAGGAAUCUGAAGGCUCAAGCUAAAUAACUGAACAUCACUCAUCUUAUGCUAAGAUCAGCCAGUAACCUUGUUGCAUUGGUGGAGACUGGAUGUAUGAAUUCAACUCUAUCGUAUGGAUCACAGGAGGUUUAAAGACAGCAGUACUGGAUGGCUAAAAAAUUUUGGAGGCAGUGAAAUUCCCACAUCAUUAAGAGAUGUUCUCAAGAAACAGGAAAUCUUUCCUGAAAAGAUGUAAAAUUGCAUUACAAAAAUAUAAUGUACAGAAUAUUCAUGACAGAGACAAAAACAAGAAAAGAGACAAUUAUGCUGCAUUUCAUUUACAUGUUUUCAAGCUGCAAGUCCAGACCUAAUCCAAGAGUCAAGAUCAACAAUCUGCAACUUAAUUCACUCAGUGGACAAACUGCAUGCAGCUAGCCCAUGUGAGAAGAAGAACCUAGUUAUGUUCUCAGGAUCUUAUGAAAGCAGAGAGACGAGAGAGACAAACUCCAGUGUUACACGACCCUUGGACCUCGUGUUGAUGACAAAAUGCUCUGGGUAUUUUCUCAACAACAUAAGCAAGCCAUACCAGGGUUUCCCUUUGGAUUCAGGACCAGGCCAGUCCUCAGAUGUGAGAUAUCUCCUCACCCGAGUAUGAUGCCAGACAUUGCUAAAUUGCUCCACCAACUCAGCAUGGAGUUUCUCCAUGGGCAUCCAUUCUCCAGGACCACAAAGAUCAGACAGCACAGUAGCAACAGAUGAUACUACAUCUUUUUCUUCCAACUGCAUAAGUUGGUGAUUGUCAGAAUCACGAUCAACCCUUGAUCUUCCAUCUAUUUUCUUCUCUGCAGGAACUAAUGCUCCAGCCAAUCCCACUUUACCACCGGAGCCACCACCUGCACUGUAGCCGUACCCCUCAAAACCCUCUCUCCUCACCUUCUUUCCACCAUUACCACCGCCACCACCAAUCUCCUCUUCAUCAUCGUGCUCAUCCUCGUAAAAUUCUCUUCUCCCUUUCUUAACUGCCGCCACGGCCACAGCCCCCGACAUCCUCUCCGCCCCAGAGGAAUGAUAACCGUACUGAGGCAUCACCGCCACAUGAUGCCUGGGUCCAAGAUGGCCGCCUAGAAUACUCCUCACGGGAAGCAGAAAAUAAAACUCCUUAUCCCCAAUUUGCAACAGAUCUUGGGAAUCAAGCUUGACAGGAGGGUUACCAGGGAGAUGGAGGACACCUUCGACCAAGCAGCCGUUUUUACCAAGAACCUCUAGGGCAAAACGUCGGCGCGUGAAAUCGUAAAAGAUGCGAGCGUGGUGACGGGAGAUGUUCAUACCGCCACCAAGGCUGGAGAGGUCGACAUCGACGGUGGAUUUCUUGGAAUUGCGGCCCAACAUUAUGGAGUAUGUUUGCAUGUAGUACUCAAAAUCCUCGCCUUGCAGCUUUGCAAAGCCGGCUUCGACGUCGCUGCCUGCAGUCCCCAUGGUGCGUCCGGAGAAAUUGGGAUUGAACUUUAC
Molecule: unclassified non-coding RNA, 1902 nt
Filed under: Hevea brasiliensis (rubber tree)
Lineage: Eukaryota; Viridiplantae; Streptophyta; Magnoliopsida; Malpighiales; Euphorbiaceae
Source: RNAcentral